RNAcentral lists this transfer RNA (74 nucleotides) under Ignavibacteriaceae bacterium. RNAcentral's name for it is "tRNA-Leu". It matches the Rfam family "tRNA". Rfam says of the family: Transfer RNA (tRNA) molecules are approximately 80 nucleotides in length. Their secondary structure includes four short double-helical elements and three loops (D, anti-codon, and T loops). The record is from RNAcentral. Lineage: Bacteria; Pseudomonadati; Ignavibacteriota; Ignavibacteria; Ignavibacteriales; Ignavibacteriaceae.
GCCAGAGUAGCCCAACGGCAGAGGCGACAGUCUUAGGAACUGUUAAGUAAGAGUUCGAAUCUCUUCUCUGGUAC